RNAcentral lists this transfer RNA (73 nucleotides) under Camelus bactrianus (Bactrian camel). It matches the Rfam family "tRNA". From Rfam's summary of the family: Transfer RNA (tRNA) molecules are approximately 80 nucleotides in length. The record is from Rfam by way of RNAcentral. Lineage: Eukaryota; Metazoa; Chordata; Mammalia; Artiodactyla; Camelidae. RNAcentral also lists the same sequence under 1 other name.
GAGGGUAUGACUCAGUGGUAGAGCGUGUGCUCAGCAAGCACGAGGUCCUGGGUUCAGUCCCCCAGUACUUCCA